This 245-nucleotide ribosomal RNA is filed under the name uncultured bacterium. RNAcentral's name for it is "partial 16S ribosomal RNA". It matches the Rfam family "Bacterial small subunit ribosomal RNA", at positions 524 to 768 of the family's 1533-position model. The record is from RNAcentral.
UACGUAGGUGGCUAGCGUUGUCCGGAAUUACUGGGUGUAAAGGGCGUGUAGGCGGGAAUGUAAGUCGGAUGUGAAAUCCCACGGCUUAACUGUGGGGCUGCAUCUGAAACUAUGUUUCUUGAGUGCUGGAGAGGAAAGCGGAAUUCCUAGUGUAGCGGUGAAAUGCGUAGAUAUUAGGAGGAACACCAGUGGCGAAGGCGGCUUUCUGGACAGUAACUGACGCUGAGGCGCGAAAGCGUGGGGAG